GGUUUGAUCAUGGCUCAGAUUGAACGCUGGCGGCAGGCCUAACACAUGCAAGUCGAGCGGAUGACGGGAGCUUGCUCCUUGAUUCAGCGGCGGACGGGUGAGUAAUGCAUCGGAACGUAUCCUGGAGUGGGGGAUAACGUAGCGAAAGUUACGCUAAUACCGCAUAUUCUGUGAGCAGGAAAGCGGGGGACCUUCGGGCCUCGCGCUCUUGGAGCGGCCGAUGUCGGAUUAGCUAGUUGGUGAGGUAAAGGCUCACCAAGGCGACGAUCCGUAGCAGGUCUGAGAGGAUGAUCUGCCACACUGGAACUGAGACACGGUCCAGACUCCUACGGGAGGCAGCAGUGGGGAAUUUUGGACAAUGGGGGCAACCCUGAUCCAGCCAUGCCGCGUGAGUGAAGAAGGCC
RNAcentral lists this ribosomal RNA (404 nucleotides) under bacterium enrichment culture clone ALO1_GLFRUDD03GRL8Y. RNAcentral describes it as "bacterial SSU rRNA". It matches the Rfam family "Bacterial small subunit ribosomal RNA", at positions 10 to 416 of the family's 1533-position model. The record is from RNAcentral.